GUUUAUAUCUUGAAAAUAUAAGAAAGAAGUAAAAUCUUCUAUUAAUUU
RNAcentral lists this transfer RNA (48 nucleotides) under Toxorhynchites amboinensis. Its description in RNAcentral is "partial tRNA-Ser". Lineage: Eukaryota; Metazoa; Arthropoda; Insecta; Diptera; Culicidae. The record is from RNAcentral.